RNAcentral lists this long non-coding RNA (338 nucleotides) under Medicago truncatula (barrel medic). RNAcentral's name for it is "lncRNA gene1659". Lineage: Eukaryota; Viridiplantae; Streptophyta; Magnoliopsida; Fabales; Fabaceae. The record is from RNAcentral.
GAAUGAUAAGUUACAGUUAAAAAAAUAAAAUGAAAUAGCAAGUCACAAAAGAUCAAAAAUAUAAAGCACUUCAAUCUUGCUGCAUAGCUGACAAUCAGCCCUUUAUGGUGUGUUUGGAUGGAGGGACUCAUAAAAGAAAUAAAUAGACACCAAUACCAGCACUGUAAGAGAAAUAAGCCCCUAAGGCCCUAACAAAUAAACUUCCAAGGACUUGCAUGAGCCUAAUAUGUGAUAGAUUGGUAUCUUGUAACCUAGAUGCAAUAAGUUUCAUUCCAAAUUACAUCAAGGGGAGUUGAAAAUCCAACAAAAAAAAAUAAUACCUUCCACCAUAGAGAAGA